CAUUUUUAAGGAUUUCAAAGAGACAGAAAUUAAUACAGGUAUUCUAAAAUCCUGUGUGCCACAAAAUGCACUUAUUAACUGAAAUUCAGAAUAUUACGCAUUACUUUAUGAUUCUUAGGAGUUUGUAUAUAGUUAUUGGAAGUCAUUCUGAUUUCAUUGUCUUUUUUCCAUUGCUCUCUUUUCUCUUACUUGAGUAGACCAUGUCUGGACAGAAGUCUAUUCUCCUUCUCAGCAGCGGUGGCUGCACUGUGAUGCAUGUGAAGAUGUCUGUGACAAGCCACUCCUUUAUGAAAUAGGAUGGGGCAAGAAGCUUUCCUAUGUCAUAGCAUUUUCAAAAGAUGAGGUAGGGCAUAAAAGAAAAAAACUUUUUUCCAAAAGUAAAAUAUAUAUAUAUUUUUGACAGUUUUAUGAAUGUAUAAUUAAUGUACAAUAACCUGCAUAUAUUUAAAUUGUACAGUUUGAUAAGUUUUAUUUGUAUACACUGAAAUCAUCAUUGCAAAUCAGUAUUCAUUGUAUGGAUGUGCCAUAGUUUACCAUUUCACCUGUUGAUGGAUAUUUGGGUAGUUCCCAGUUUUUUUCACGAUUUCAAAUUAAGCUGCCAUGAACAUUCAGGCACACAAGUCUUUAUAUGGGCAUAUGCUGCCUUUUCUCUUUACUUAAUGCCUAGGAGUAGAAUGGCUGCAUUAUAUGGUAGACAUACAUACAACUUUUUAAGAAACCACUAAACUAUUUUCCAACGUGAUUGUGCCAUUUUACAUUUUCGCAAGCAGUAUGUGAGUUUCCAGUUUCUCCAUGUCCUUGCUAACAUUUAGUGUGAUCUGACUUUUUAAUUUUAUCCCCUUUAAUAGGUGUGUAGUGGCAUUUCAUUAUGGUUUUUAUUUGUACUUCCCUAAUGACAAAUAAUAUUGAGCAUCUUUUUAUGUGUUUGCUUACCAUCCAUAUGUCCCCUUUGCUUGUUUGUUUUUAAUUGGGUAUUGUGUUUUCUUACUGUUGGGUUUUGAGAGUUCUUUAUGUAUUCUUAUGUAAGUCCAUUAUCAGAUAUGUGCCUUGCAAAGAUUUUUCUCCCUGUCUGUAGUUUGUCUUUUCAUGCUCUUAAUAACUUUUGAAGAGAAGAAACUGGUGUUCAGUUUACCAAUUUGUUGUUUUAUGGAUUGUGCUUUUUGAUGUUAUAUUUAAGAAAUUUUGCCUAGCCCUUGGUCACAAUGAUUUUCUCUUAUGUUUUGUUUUAGAAGUUUUACAUUUUUAGUUUUACACUUAUGUCUGUGAUCCAUUUUGAGUUAAUUUUUUUAUAUGAUCCAAGGUAUGAAGUUUUUUUUUACAUAUGGGUAAUGAAUUGUUCUAGCACCAUUUAUUGAAAAGAUUAUUUUUUCUCCAUUGAAUUAUCUUUCCACUAGUAUCAAAAAUCAGUUCUAUAAUAUACAUCUAAUACAAUAAAAAUGGAUAAAAUUUUUAUUUGUUGAAUUUUGUGGAAUCAGCUUUGCAGAUAAAUUUUAAAAAAGUAAUGUUUUGAAAUUUUCACUUUUUUAUCAUAGCAUUUCUGGUUAACUAUCAACUGUUAGGAAUGAAUAAGUGACGUAUUCUCUUCCGUUUAUUUUAUAGGCUUUUAGGUUUUAUUUUAUUUUAUUUUAUUUUAAUUUUUCGAGACAGUCUCACCCUCUUGCCCAGGCUGGAGUGCAGCUGCAUGAUCCCGGCUCACUGCAACCUCUGCCUCCCAGGUUCAAGUGAUUCUCCUGCCUCAGCCUCCUGAGUAACGGGGAUUACAAGCACAUGCCACCACACCUGGCUAAUUUUUUUUGUAUUUUUUUUUAGUGGAGAUGGGGUUUCACCAUGUUGGCCAGGCUGGUCUCAAACUCCUGACCUCAGGUGAUCUGCUCACCUCAGCCUCCCAAAGUGCUGAGAUUACAAGCAUGAGCCACUGCACCAGGCCCCAUGACUUUUAAAUUUUAAACAAAGGAUAGUAUUCUAAAAAUUGCAUUUAAGGCUGGGCAUGGUGGCUCAUGCUUAUAAUCCCAGCACUUUGGGAGGCCAAGGUGGGUGGAUCACCUGAAGUCAGGAGUUCAAGACCAGCCUGGCCAACUUGGUGAAACCCCGUUUCUACUUAAAACAAUACAAAAAUUAGCCAGGCGUGAUGGUGCAUGCCUGUAGUCCCAGCUACUCGGGAGGCUGAGAUACGAGAAUCGCUUGACCCUGGGAAGUGAGACUGCAGUGAGCUGAGAUCACGCCACUGCACUCUAGUCUGGACAACAGAGCGAGACUUCGUCUCCAAAAAAAUGCAUUUAAAAAUUACAUACAUUCUAGGUAUUUAGUAAAUAAAGGUUGAUGGUUGUAAUCUUGUUAAGUAUUUGUGUUCUGUUAUUUGUUUCAGGUAGUUGAUGUCACUUGGCGAUAUUCCUGCAAACAUGAAGAGGUGAUUGCCAGAAGAACUAAGGUUAAAGAAGCAUUACUUCGAGAAACUAUUAAUGGGCUUAAUAAGCAGAGAAAAGAAACCUCAUUUAUUCCCUGUGAAAAUGAGAAGAUUUCUAAACAGCUCCACCUUUGUUAUAAUAUUGUGAAAGAUUGUUAUGUUCGAGUUUCAAAUAACAAUGAAACCAUUUCUGGAUGGGAGAAUGGUGUGUGGAAAAUGGAAUCUAUAUUCAGAAAAGUUGAAACAGACUGGCACAUGGUAUAUUUGGCACGAAAGGAAGGAUCAUCUUUUUCUUAUAUUUCCUGGAAGUUUGAGUGUGGGUCUGUUCGCCUAAAAGUAGAUAGCAUUUCUAUUAGAACAAGUAGUCAAACUUUUCAGACUGGAACAAUAGAAUGGAAAUUGCGAUCUGAUACAGCACGAGUAGAACUGACAGGCGAUAACAGUCUUCACUCCUAUGCUGAUUUUUCUGGUGCCACUGAAGUUAUUUUGGAAGCAGAAUUAAGCAGAGGAGAUGGUGAUGUCGCUUGGCAACACACCCAGCUGUUUAGACAAAGCUUAAAUGACCAUGAAGAAGAUUGUUUGGAGAUAAUUAUAAAAUUCAGUGACCUUUGAGAACCUGAACAUUAUAGAAAAGCUGGCAAUAAUCAAGGACUUACUAAAGUAGUCUGUUGGUUCAGUGCAUGCUUAGUUGGCAGUUACCACCCUGUGCUAGCAUAUUUCUUUUGCUAGCUAUCCAUCAUGUAACCCUUAUGAAAAUUAUCUUUAUAUGUGGACUAUAAUAAAAUAUUGAAUU
Molecule: small RNA, 3197 nt
Filed under: Pongo abelii (Sumatran orangutan)
Lineage: Eukaryota; Metazoa; Chordata; Mammalia; Primates; Hominidae
Description: retained intron
Source: RNAcentral